GUGAGUAACACGUAGGUAAUCUGCCGUGAAGCGGGGGAUAACCCAUGGAAACAUGGACUAAUACCGCAUAUACUCUUGACACAUAAGUGUAGUAGAGGAAAGGAGUAAUCCGCUUUACGAUGAGCCUGCGGCCUAUUAGCCUGUUGGUGAGAUAAAAGCCCACCAAAGCUACGAUAGGUAGCCGACCUGAGAGGGUGACCGGCCACAUUGGGACUGAGAUACGGCCCAGACUCCUACGGGAGGCAGCAGCUGAGAAUCUUCCACAAUGGACGAAAGUCUGAUGGAGCGACAUCGCGUGAGGGAUGAAGGCCUUCGGGUUGUAAACCUUGGAAAUUAUCGAAGAAUGAGUGACAGUAGAUAAUGUAAGCCUCGGCUAACUACGUGCCAGCAGCCGCGGUAAUACGUAGGAGGCAAACGUUGCUCGGAUUUACUGGGCGUAAAGGGUGAGUAGGCGGAACUAUAAGUCUAAGGUGAAAUAUCGAAGCUCAACUUCGGAAACGCCUCGGAUACUGUGGUU
RNAcentral lists this ribosomal RNA (517 nucleotides) under uncultured Brachyspira sp. RNAcentral's name for it is "bacterial SSU rRNA". It matches the Rfam family "Bacterial small subunit ribosomal RNA", at positions 106 to 640 of the family's 1533-position model. The record is from RNAcentral. Lineage: Bacteria; Pseudomonadati; Spirochaetota; Spirochaetia; Brachyspirales; Brachyspiraceae.